This is a long non-coding RNA of Monodelphis domestica (gray short-tailed opossum), 11527 nucleotides long. RefSeq lists it as uncharacterized. Lineage: Eukaryota; Metazoa; Chordata; Mammalia; Didelphimorphia; Didelphidae. The record is from RefSeq and is a predicted model, not a curated record.
CUCUCCUCUGCUCCUGGUGGGAGAGGGGAGGGCACAGCCAGGUGGAUUUAGAACUUGCAGCCUGGGCUGACUCAUUUGUAAUCGUUUGAGUAAUCAUUAAUGAGUGGCUAUUAAGUAGGAUGGACGUCCCUGGUGACGGGUCCUUGGCCCUGUGCUGUUUAACUUUUUUUUAAUCAAUGACUUCUGGAAAGGCACAGAGUGUACACUUGGCAGAUUUGCUGAAAACAGAGCUAGGAGAGAUACAAAAAACAAAAGCGCUGAAACAAGCACUUUCAGGCGAGCAAGCAAGCAGUAGGAGCUAGACCUCACCUCCACGUGGAGAUAGCACAAGGAAUAAACCAGAGACAGCUGAAUUAGUUAACUAGAGUGGCUUAGGGGGCCAUUUCCUGAAAGAGAGGAGACCUCGGAUGCCGUCCGCUCAGCCCAUGAGAUCUUUCAUGAUGCAGCCCUCUCUUCAUCUCCUCCCCAGCUAUCUGAGGAGUCACCACCAAGGCCCCCAGAGGCUCUAUCCUUCUCUCAGGACAUUCCCCCUCCUGGAGAUCUUAGGAGUUCUUUUGGAUUCAGUUUUCAUCACUGUACGUUCAUGUAUGUACAGCCACCCUAAUCUCUUCCAUCACCAAUGGCCUGUUCACCAUCACCAUCUGGCUAUCCCAUAGUCCUCUGUGUGUCCAAAACUCAACUUUUACUACCUUUCCCCCCCAUCAGUCCAAACCCAGCCCAUUUCCAAAUGUCCCUAUUUCCAAUGAAGACAGGUAUCAGGUCACCCAGGUUCACAAGUUUAGCACCUCUCUCAAUGCCUUCCUCUCUCAUCUAUAACAUUCCAAGUCUUGCCUUUUCUAUUUUCCCAAUACCUCUUGUACUUCAAAGUUGGGACAUUAACUCAUUGCUAGUGGAGUUGUGAAUUGAUCCAACCAUUCUGGAGGGCAAUUUGGAACUAUGCCCAAAGGGCAAUAAAAGACUGUCUUCCCUUUGAUCCAGCUAUAGCACUGCUGGGUUUGUACCCCAAAGAGAUAAUAAGGAAAAAGACUUGUACAAGAAUAUUCAUAGCUGUGCUCUUUGUGGUGGCCAAAAAUUGGAAAAUGAGGGGAUGCCAUUCAUUUGGGGAAUGGCUAAACAAAUUGUGGUAUAUGUUGGUGAUGAAAUACUAUUGUGCUGAAAGGAAUAAUAAAAUGGAGGAAUUCCAUGGAGUCUGGAACAACCUCCAAGAAUUGAUGCAGAGUGAAAGGAGCAGAACCAGGAGAACCUUGUACACAGAGACUGAUACACUGUGGUACAAUCGAAUAUAAUGGACUUCUCCAUUAGUGUCAAUGCAAUGUCCCUGAACAAUCUCCAGGGAUCAAGGAGAAAAAAACACUACCCUCAAGCAGAGGACAAACGGUGGGAGUAAAAACACUGAGGAAAGGAAACAGCUUGACUACAUGGGGUUGAGGGGAUAUGAUUGAGGAGAGACUCUAAAUGAACACCUUAAUGCAAAUACCAACAACAUGGAAAAGAGUUCGGACUGAGGACACAUGUGAUAUCCAGAGAAAUCAUGGGGGGGAGAGGGGGAGGAAAAUAAAAUGAUCUUUGUUUCUAAUGAAUAAUGUUUGAAAAUGACCAAAUAAAAUAAUAUUUAAAAGGAAAAAAAAUACCUUUUGUACUUGUCACUUUGUCCCCACUUGGCCACCAUACUUGUUCAAGUCCUCCAUCAUCUCUCACUGGCACUAUUGUAAUAGCCAGUUGGCUUCCAGGCUCCUAGUUCUCCAUUCUAUUCUCCAAACUCUAAACUGGUUUCCCAAACUACUCUAACUACGCUCCCCUACUUAAGGACUUUCAAUGACUCACUGAAUACAAACUCAGCUUGGUAUUUGAAGCCAUUUACAAACUGUCUUCGGCUUACUUUUCCAGUCUCAUUUCUCAUUAUUCUCCCUCAUGCACUCUACAUUCCAGUCAAAGUGGCCUUCUGGUGUUCCCAUAGACAGUAUUCUAUCUACCACCAAUCCAGUGGCUUAGCCAAGCUUAUCACUAUCCCUGGAAUAUAUUUCCUCCCUAUCUUUACCCCUUAGAAUCUUUAGCUUUUUUCAAAGCUGAGUUCCUAUGUUACCUACCUUCUUUAAUACAUUUUGCUAGUACUCUCUCCCUCCUCAAAUGAUCACAUAACUACUAUAGAAGCUUCCCACCUUCAUUCCCCAGGAUAUAUAUCCCCAUGCAGCCCUUCCCAAUUUUCUUGCCUGUUGGCCUAUUUAAAAAUUCCCAUUUGUGGAAGUGAAUCUUUGGCCACAAUUAAAAAAGGCAGAGUGUCUAAAGUGAGAGAAGUCAUAACCUCAUUAGUCAGACCAUCUGGAGAAUGAGUUUAUUUCUGGCCAUCACAUUUCUGGAAGGCCACUGACAAGACAGAGAACAUGCAGAGAAGGGCAACCAAGAUAAUGAGGACAAUAAAGACCUGGCUGUGAAAGACUUGGAUGAAGGAAAUGAAAUGUUUAGACUGGAGUAGAGGAGACUUCAGGGGGUGUGACAGGGACACAAUCCUCAAUUACCUUUAGAUAGAAUGAGGUUUUGGUUCUAAUUGAUCCUAGAGGGAAUAACUAGGAUCACUGGGCAGAAAUUGCUGAGACACAAAAAAAGACUCCUAACAAUUUGAGGUGUCCAAAAAAGCAAAAGGAUGCCUAAUGCCUCUAGACCUGAGUCUUUGGGAGUCAUUUAGGAAUUAUCAAAAAGGGUGAAAAAAGGGAUAUCCAUACUUUUGUCUACAUGAGAUUAGAGAUUCCACUAACAGCUUGAAAUGAGGCCUGGGCAUUAACAAGUGCUGGGAGUGAAGGGCAGUAUAGGAAACCUGUCCAGAUGUUUAUGGAGCUCUCAAGGGACAGCCAGACGCUCUCUGAGACCCUCUUCCUCUGACAUUCCUUGUGGCAAAAAAAUGAGCAAGGUGAAAACAAAGUCGACCCUGGGACCAGUAAGAAGAGGCUUCCAAGGGGGCAGCUGGGUAGCUCAGUGGAUUGAGAGCUAGGCCUAGAGACAGGAAGUCCUAGGUUCAAAUCUAUCCUCAGACACUUCCUAGCUGGGUGACCCUGAGCAAGUUACUUAACCCCCAUUGCCUAGCCCUUACCACUCUUCUGCCUUAGAACCAAUACACAGUAUUGAUUCUAAGAUGGAAGGUAAGGGUUUAAAAAAAAAAAAGAAGAAGAAGAAGAGGCUUCCAACAGAUCCUGGGUGCUAACACUUUUCCCCCAACAGUUCAAAGUCAAAUGUCCAAUUCUUCCAGGAUUGGCCUAAAAUCUAUAAACAAAGACUUGCUGUUCCCACUUGCCUCCUUAACUUACUAAUACUUCAACAGCCUGUCAUCACCUGCCCCUUGGUAACCUGGGGAAACCCCAUACUGGUUGCUUUUGAGGCUUCCAUUAUAUCUGUAUCUUUCUGAAAUGGUAUACCUCCAGUUUAGAGAUACUGUGCCAGCUGAAGGUACUGGGAGGAACUGGAUGCCUGAGGGUGUUCUGAUGCAUCAGGCCUGCUUGGUGGAAGGCAGGUGGUAUGGAAGAACAGCUCCCCAUCAGAAGAGCCUCUUCUCCCAGAGAGAAAGAAAUGAGCUAUAGUCCCAGCUCUGCCACUAAUUUACUGAGUGUGACCUUGAGUCACUUUCAUCCUUUAAAAAUCAGCCUCUCAGGUAAGGAAUGAGAGAGGAGGAAAGGCAUGCCUCUCGGGUCAUCAAGGCCAACCAGCAUCUCAAAAGGAACAUCCCUGCCAUACUUGACAAGUCAUUCAGCUUCUGUUUGAAGAUUGAUGGAGAUGGAGACCUCCCUACCUCCUAAGGCAGCCCAGCCCACUUUUGGAUAAAUCUUGGGAACUUUUUAUUUAUGGUGCCAAAAUCUUCCCCUUCUUCCAUCAUGGCUCCUGUUCUGCCUCCCUGUUUCCAAUGAGUGUAAUAAUCAUCGAAUCUUUCUGAAUGUGAGGCCCCCAGAAUGCUCAACUAAAGCCCCUGCCUCCCUCUCCCCAGCCCACAGGAGCUGCUCACAUUGCACAUAGAUAGUACGACAUGACUCCUGCUGAUGGACUACUGUCUACCAGGCUCAUUACUAAAUAUGGGAAAUGAUUCUGGAUUCCUCAAAGUUAAUCAACACUGAGAACAACACUGGGCAUGCAGGUACCAGUUCUGUCAGUUCCAGCACGGCCACAGCCUUCAACAAACCUUUGGACUCAUAGAAGCCAGGGCAAGAGGAGCUGCUCAGUGGAUGCCCCUGUCCCAGCUUGGCAUGCCAGAGACAGUGAUCAAGACCAUGGCACAAAUGCUUACCAUUUGGAGUGAAUUCAUUCAUGUCUGCCUGUCGCAGGAGGUCCUUGUGCACAAUAGCACCUGCAGUAACGUCCUAAAAUCAAAUAUAUUGAAAAUCAUUGGGAGAAUAGGAGGCAACACCCAUAGGACUUCACAGAGAGGCCAGAGAGAACUGACUACACAUUAGAAACAAACCUUGCCAGGUGAUUCAACCUCAAAAUGAACUGGCAAUAGAUCUUAGGCUAAUUCCUCCAAGAUCUUUCCCCCUACUCUCCCCAGCAGAAGUGAUCUCUCCCUCUUCAAAUUUUCUUAAAGUAUUAUAACAUUUAGAUUUGAAACAGACCUUAGAGAUCCAGUCUUCCCAUUUUAAAAAUGAGACUUAGAAAGUUUAAGUGACUUGCCCAAGGUCACAGAUUAAGUAGCAGAUAUAAGUUUUGACCCAAAAUCUUAUAUUUUUUCCAUUGUACCAGAAGGGAGAAAGAGGGGAAAAGGGAACCUUCCCUUCCCUCUUCCUCCCUGGGGCCCCAAAAGAUUAGGCAAUUGACCCAAGAUCAAACAGGUUAAGUAGGGCAAUGUUAUCCUAAUAACUUCUCAGUGAGGUAGCUAGUACAAACUUAUUCCAUUUUUUUUUAACCCUUACCUUCCAUCUUAGAAUCACUACUGUGUAUUGGCUCCAAGGCAGAAGAGUGGUAAGGGCUAGGCAAUGGGGAUCAAGUGACUUGUCCAGGGUCACACACAGGGAAGUGGCUGAGGCCAGAUUUGAACCUAGGACCUCCCGUCUCUAGGCCUAGCUCUCAAUCCACUGAGCUACCCAGCUGCCCCCUCCAUUUUUUACAGAUGAAGAAACUAAGGCUAACAUGACUUGCCCAGAGUCACACAGACAGUAGUUAGGUCUCAGUCAAGGUCUUCUGGCUUUAGGACUCUCACUCUUUCUGAAAAUGACCUUGAAUUAGAGGAGGCCUAGGUUCACCUUAGUGGAGGAACAGAUCUAAAACUGAUCCCUUUACUCCUCUUCACCCCCUCUCCCUCUGUAGCUCUCCUGCUCUCACUGCCUUCCCAGUUCUGUCCCCCGGAAAGGUAUGAAACUUUUCCUCAAAGGCAUCCAUGACUGAGAGCAUCUUCAAAUGUUUCCUGAUCUCCCUUAGCAUUUAACAGGAUCCAAGCCUUUGAUGGCGAGAUGAUAUUAAUAACAUAAUUCUUUAUCAGCUUUUUCUUGGGGACACCUAUACAAGACAGGCAGUGUAAGUACUACUAUCCCCAUUUUUUAUUGUCAUACAAAACACUUCCAUAUUGGUCAGUUGUAAGAGCACCCUCAUAUAUAACCAAAACCCCAAAAUAAAACCAAAAAUACCCUGAUGAGAAAGAUGAUUCCAAUAGUACUUUCUCUGGAAGUGGUUAGCAUUCCUCAUCACAAUUCUUUUAGGAUUGUCCCAAAUCAUUGCAUUGCUGAGAGUAGCCAAGUUUUCACAGUUGAUCAUUGUACAAUAUUGCUUAUUUCACUCUGUAUCAGUUCCUGUAGAUCUUUCCAGCUUUUUCUGAAAUCAUCUUGCUUAUCACUUCUUUAUAGCACAGGAGUAUUCCAUCACUAACAUGUACCACAAUUUGUUCAGCCAUUCCCCAAUUGAUAAAUAUCCCCUCAAUUCCCAAUUCUUUGCCACCAUAAAAAAGAGUAGCUAUAAAUAUUUUUGUACAAGUAGGUCCUUUCCCCUCCAACACUUAUUAUUUUCCUUUACUGCCAUAUUGGCCAAUCUGCUAGGUAUGGGAUGGUACCUCAACAUUGUUUUAAUUUGCCUUUCUCUAAUCAAGAGUGAUUUAGAACAUUUUUUCAUGUGAUUAUUGAUGGCUUUGAUUUCUUCAUCUGAAAAUUACUUGUUCAUAUCCUUUGACCAUUUGUCAAUUAUAUCCCUGUUUUUAAAAAGAGGAAAUUGAGGUGUAUGCCUCAGAAGGGGAAUGCCUUAGAUAAGGCCACAUACACUCAAGGGGUCACCCUGAACAAGGCAGUCAGAUGAGAUGUUCUGUGAAGUCUGGCACUGAGCCUGUAGGAGGGCAGAGUCAGAACCAAAGCCCAGGAGUCCUGACUCAUAGGCCUGUGUUCCUUCUAUCACAUCAAACAGCCACCCAGAAGCCCUCUUCUGUCUAAAUCUGAGGAGAAAAAGUUCAGGGAAGUCUCUUUUUAUCAGCAUGGUCUUGAAAGAAACAACGUGGACUUGGCCUCAGGAGGAAAGGCAAUGAUGAGCACAUGGUCUUCCUCCCUCUGAGCUAUUCAGAGUAUUAUUAUCAUUAAGUUAACCAAUACCAUGGCCAGGGAGAGAGGGAGAAGCUGGAGAGCAGCAAGGAAGAGCUCCCCACUGACUGGCAUUUUGGUGGACCAUAUAAUUGGAGCUCAGGUUUCAGAGCAACACCUGUGUCUCUACAGGUGCCUGAAAAGCCACUUUUCUCCCUAAGUCUAUGUCCACACAAACUGGCCAGAUGCAUUCUGUCUUAGAGAUGCAGAUUAACUUGCUGGCUGUAUUUCAGUGUGAGAGGAGGGCAUCUCUCCCAUGUCAGCAUAGGGGUGAUGGAAUCAAAUCAAGGAAAUGACCAUUGUGAACCAUUAACAGAAAAUGGCAGAGCAGGGAGGUUCUCACCAUCUCCUCCAGCACCCCCACAUCUAAUACAAGUCACCAGAUUUGACUUCCUAGAACACUACUCCCUUGCUCCCUGCUCAAAAAAACCUCCAAAAGGGGGAUAUGGCAAAAUUGUAACACUAAUGCAUUGCUGGUAGACUUGUGAAUUGAUCCAACCAUUCUGGAGGGCAAUUUGGAAUUAUGCCCAAAGAGGCAUAAAAUAGUGCAUACUCUUUGAUCCAGUAAUACCACUACUGAGUCUGUAUCCCAAAGAGAUCAUAAAAAAAGGGAAAGGACCUACUUGUACAAAAAUAUUUAUAGCUGCUCUUUCUGUGGUGGUAAAGCAUUCCAAACUGGGGGGUAUGCCCUCAGCUAUUGGGGAAUAGCUGAACAAAUUGUGGCAUAUGAUGGUGAUGGAAUACUAUUGUGCUAUAAGAUAUGAUGAUUCCAGAAAGAACUGAAAAGACCUACAUGGACUGAGGCAGAGUGGAAUGAACAGAACCAGGAGAACAUUGUACACAGUAACAGCAACACUGUGGAAUGAUCAACUGUGAAAGGCCUAGCUUCUCUCAGCAAUGCAAUGAUCCAGGACAAUUCUGACAGACUUAUGAUGGGGAAGGCUAUCCACAUCCAGAAAAAGAACUAUGGGAGUCAGAAUAUGGAUCAAAGCGUACCAUUUUUCACUUCUUUAUUUGGGAUUAUGUUUGGGUUUUGGUUUUAUAAGAUUACUCACAAAAAUGAGUCAUAUAAAAAGAUAUUUUACAUAAUAACCCAGAUCAAAUCACCUGACAGCAUUGGGAGGAAGGGAAGGAAAACGUGUGUGGAAAAUAUUACAUGUAAUUGGUAAAAAAUACAUAUAUAUUUUUUAAAACCCUCUAAAUAUUCUUCACCAUACCUAUUCCUACCCCUGCACCUUUGCCCAUUCUCUGUCUUUGCCUAGGGGAAGCCUAUCUUCUUCCUCUCUCCCUUUUUCCAAACCCAUCCUUUGAAGCCCCACUCAUGUCUGUGAAGCCUUCCCAGAGACCAGCAAACAUAGAUCUUUCCCUCCCAUCUAUCCCUAGAGCUCACUGUCUGUUGAUCUCUCACACCCAGCACUCAGCCCACCCCACCAUCCAAUGUCUUUUGUAUAUUCUUCUUUUCUCUGACCCUGCAUGCCUCUCAGCUUUGUUAGUACCGAAAAGAGCUUCCACCAGUCCUUCUUCCUGGUAUCUCAGGGAAGCCUUGAGAACCCAUUCUCCAGAGAGGCUAUGGUGCAGGUGAAGUCAAGGGCCCCGGGGUCAGACUGGGUGAGCUUAGGAUGGGAGGCAUUCCCCCUUUCCGGGCUUCCUUUUCUAUAAAAUGAAGGUGGCGCUUGCCCUAAAGAUUCCCAGUUCUAAGGCAUGGAUUGAGAGAAUGGGUACAAAAACUAAAAGGUUUUUCAUUUUAAAGUGCUCUAGAAGGAGGCAGCUGGGUAGCUCAGUGGAUUGAGAGCCAGGCCUAGAGAUGAGAUUCAAAUCUGAGUUCAAAUCUGGCCUCAGACACUUCCCAGCUGGGUGACCCUGGGCAAGUCACUUGCCCCCCAUUGCCUAGCCCUUACCACUCUGCCUUCGAACCAAUACACAGUAUUGACUCCAAGACGGAAGGUGAGGGUUUUUAAAAAAAUAAAUAAAUAAAGUGCUCUAGAAAGGCAGGCUGCUGACAAACUGAAGAUGAAUUUCCCUGACUUUAUUUAGCCUAUCUAAAAUCCCUGAGGUGCCUCCUCUGCCAGGCUGGGGAGGUGACUGGGCUUCACAGGCGGAGGGCAAAUGCCAAGCACCAUUCAGAACUCCAUUUGCUGUGGACAAAAAUUAAUGGCUGGGACUUUGAAAAUCUCCCUGCCCCCCAGGAAGAGGAGACUUACCCCCAAAAUAUCUUGGGUCCCAGGAGUGAGAACGUCAGAAUAAAACCCGCGAGUUUUAAUCUCUGGAUACAUCUUGGACUUGUCCGCUGGAGAAUUAAUAUCUUCAUCAAGAUCUGCAUAUCUAGAUUUAUGAUACUCUGCUGUGCGAUCCAUUAUUGUGCCUUGUGAGAAAAAAGUACUCUGUAAAACUUAAAGCAUUUCAUCCAGGUAUGCUGCUAUCAUUGUCUUUAUUACUCUUAUCAUUAAGUGAACACGCAUCCUGGCUGCCCUGUGUGGCAGGGCUCUCAUCCCCUUCCUCAGCUCUUAGCAUUGGCUUAUAGGACCCAUUAAAUUGGUGUAAAGGGCUUCACCCCCAUGGCCUAGCCCUUACCACUCUUCUGCCUUGGAACCACACACACAGUAUUGAGUCUAAGACAGAAAGUAAAUUGGCAUAACAAGUACAGAACACAUCUGACCCCUUAUAUUUAGCAGAGUUGACAGAAUGGUCUGCCCCCUAACAAAUUUCAUGUCAUGGCUUUUCCAUUUUGCCCUAUUCAUUUUUUUAAAUGCUUCUUUUCCAUCUUAGAAUCAAUAUUAUGUAUUGGUUCCAAGGCAGAAGAGUGGUAAGGGCUAGACAAUGGGGGUUAAGCGACUUGCCCAGGUUCACACAGCUGGGAAGUGUCUGAGGUCAAAUUUGAACUCAGGACCUUCCAUCUCUGGAUCUGGCUCUCAAUCCAUUGAGCCACCUAGCUGUCCCCAUUGGGUUAUUUUUUUAAACUUUUUUUUUUUACCAAUUACAUGUAAUAGCAAAUUUCCAAAUUGUCUCCUUCUUUCCUGGCCCUCCCCAACUCCCAGAGCUGGCUAGGCUAUUAUUUUUUUUAAAAACAGAAUAAAAAGGAAUGUCUGCCUUCAACUCCACAUCUGAAUCUGCAAGAAGGACAGUUCUACCAUUUGGUUAAUAAGGAACCAUGCAUCUAGCCCAGUCCAUCUGAGAAUCAAUCAACCAGUAUUUAUUAGGCCAUGCACCAUGCUAGAUACUCUCCUCAUUAGGAGCUAACAUUCUAUUGGGGAAGGCGAAGAGAUUUUCUAUAUGUGUAUGUCUAUAAAAUAUAUAUAAAGAAUAAAACAAGUUGUUAAAUACAAGGUAGUUUCAAGAAGUCACCAGAAGUUGAAAGGAAAUGGGGAAUAAUUUUACUUGGAAGGUAGUGCUUGAGUAGCAUAUUGGGGGAGAGAGAGAGAUUCUGAGUCAGAGGUAAGGAGAAAGUGCAUUCCAGGCAUAGAGGCCAGCCUGGACAAAAUCACAAAGAAAUACACAUCACAUCUUUGAAUCAAAGAGACAAACACUGCCCCUCACCAAACAGAUAAAGUUAAGGGAAAAGGACUGAGAAACAGAACAUUUGGUGGUUAACCCUGUGUGCACUCUGGUUCUGAGGAGCAUUUCUAGGUGGCUCCCUGGAUAGAGAGCCAGACCUGGAGACUGGAGGUCCUGGGUUCAAAUAUGACCUCAGAUACUUCCUAGACAUGUGAUCCUAGGCAAGUCACUUAACCCCAACUGCCUGGCCCUUACUGCUCUUCUGCCUUAGAACUCAAUUCUAAAACAGGUUAGGGUUUUUUAAAAACUGUUGAAGAGAAUAUGGGACUACCAGUACUUAACCUCAUAGUGUAUUAGGGUCAGACACUUGGUCUACCACUCCUUGGAGUUAAGUUCUUAUUAAUUACUCUGUAUCAAUUCUAUUUAGUAGGAUGGGCCACUGCAUUGAAAUGAAUUUAGGAAUACUGAUUAGCCAUAUGAGCAAUAACUACAAAAUUAUCCAGAACUCAUCCAAAUGUAGGAUGCACUCUUCCCACAAACCUGGUUUUUGUAAAACUUGAGCAUCCUCUAUAAUUGAUUAUUGUUUUGUCUUGAGAACUAAUUUUAGGCACAUGAACUUUAUCCAGAACAACAUGGUAAUUCUAGUCUUCCAAGGUAGAGGUUUAUCCCUAGUUGUGUCAACAGUCAUUUUUUCCAUGAUUACCAACUCAAACUCUGUAAGACUGCCACCAUAACUCUCUGCUGUAGACUGACUGGGACAUCCCAUCUGAAUGGGCCAGAGUCUAGAGUUAGACCUGAAAUCGAGAGGCCUUGAUCCUGGCUUUAACACUUAAAACUAGUUUCAUGAUGAUAGGCAAAUCACUUUGUCCCACUAAGCCUCAUUUUUUCCCCAUGUGUAAAAUGAAGAUGAUACUUUAGUAUUACCUGGCUUACAUAGAUGUUAUGUUGUGAGGAAUGUUUUGUAAACCUUUAAGUACUAUGUCAGAGUGAAGUAGUUAACAUUUUUCUUUCUUCCCCCAUCAAAUUUUUCUAGUACAAAAUUUGUAUCUCUUCUCUGCAUUCUACCAUAUAUCCUAUUUAUAAAUGUGCAAGCCAUAUCCUUAUCCCAAUACCUCUGAGCUCCCUCAAGACAGGAACUGUUGUUUUUCAGUUUUGUUACCCACCUCCCAGCACAAGGCUCUUUGGAAGGAACCCUGUUCCUCUUAGUUUAGGUUUAUGGUUAAAGUUUGCAUAUAUAUUUAUUGAACUGGACUGAACUGAACCUGUUACUACUCAGAAGAACAUACACAUUUUGGUUCAAUUGAAUGGAGAUGAUAAACACAAUCUGUGGAAAGAGAUUUACAAAUCUUUGAGUAUGAAAAAAGUCAGCUUUGUGUUUUGUUUUAAAGCUUUGUUGUUUUUUGCAUAAUAACAGUUUUUAAUGCUUUAUACCCUACAAAAUGAUUCACAACAAAUCUAUGAGGCAGGAAGGCAGAGACUGUUAUCUGGGGGGUGGGGGGUGGGGG